This is a long non-coding RNA of Harmonia axyridis, 1617 nucleotides long. RefSeq lists it as uncharacterized. The transcript has 2 exons. NCBI's taxonomy places the organism in Eukaryota, Metazoa, Arthropoda, Insecta, Coleoptera, Coccinellidae. The record is from RefSeq and is a predicted model, not a curated record.
GACCUUCUAACUCUUAUGGUUUAAAAGUUACCAAUACAAUCCCAUUGAAAAAGUGGCCACCCUGUAUACUUACGUAUUUUUACGAGUAGAAUAUAUUCAAUUCAUUAUUAUCAUACCAUACCUACUGAAAUAUAUGUGAAAUUUGAAUAUGUUUUGAAGAGAAUUCUAAUAAUUCAUUUAUCUUCUUGAAAUCAACAUUAAAUUGUAUGGAAUAUAGUUGAAGUAACGAUAAAAAUGAUUCAAACAUAAAAAAAACCGAUUUUAGAUAACUUCAAGUCAAUUAAUGAAUUACUUUUAUAGAUAAUAAGGAAUUUGUUGAACACAUCAAUCUUCUAAUUUGAAGUUCUUCUCGAGUGAGAAGGAUCAAUAAGGUAUAGUAACCAAUACAAAUAAACAAUAUCAAAUAAUUUUUUUUUUUCUUCUUCCGGGACUUUAUAUUUAAUUGAACUGGAAUUGGUUAAAAUAUCAAAUUUGGAGGAUUUAAACACCUGAAUGAAACCAAUUAGAAGAGGCAUUAUGAAUCACCUAGAAAUCUAUACUACAAAUUCACGGAUUUAAGAAUUUAAAAAAAUGAGGAAUAAUUUCAAAUGGGAACAUUAAAUAUUCACUUUUAUCAGUGUUUUUUCCAUAUCACCUACAUGAAAAAUUCUUUCAGAAAUUUAUUUCAUUUCACUACACAAUAUAAAAUGAUGAUGAAUAAUUACAAAAUAAAACUAGUAAUCAAAAAGACUGGUUUUCAAAAUUCAUUUUUACAUCCUAAUCUCAGAAUGUAUUAUUUUUUGAGAAGAUAGAGGCAAUGUUCAUCUAAAUUUUCGGUGAAUAGUUCUGAUUCAGCUUUUUGAACUUAAAUAUUUUCAUUAAAAUAUUGAACAGAAAUUUUCGAAAAAUUGAAUAUGCAACCCUUCAUCUCAUAGAAAGUAAGCCCCACUAGCACUCCAAUGUGGGAGGGGAGUGAGUAGGGCGCAGAAUCAUAGUUCAACCGGGUAUGAAGUAUAUCGUAAAAGCCAUCUUCCUCUUCCUCAAGCUCAAGUCACCCUGUACUUGCAUUAGUAGCAGUGUCGUAUCAUGAAUACAUCAUGGACUUUGAAAGACGACACCAGUUAAUCUGGAAGGUCUUUAUCAUAGAGCAAUAAUGCAGCAGGAUGGCUUCAACUAGGAAUGGUCAAAAAAAUGUUUUGAAUUAUCAAUAGAAACAAUAAAAAAAAAAGUUGAGUUUUCUUCAUCCAUAUUUGACCGAAGUUUCCAAGAGGUAUCCGAGUGAUGUUUCCAAGACUUUCUUCGAAGAAGAAGUCGUUUCAACAUAAUGGAAGCCAAGUCGUUGAAGUUUAUUUGGGUCUACAAUGUAUGCUGAAAAUAGGUGGAAGCCAUUCCAUAUCCAACACAAGAUAAGAUGUAAUCUGCUCCACAAAGGCACAUCGUUUGGUGGGAGAUAUUCCAGAGUGAAUUUGUGCCUUAAGACGUUUAUUGGUAAAGCUCAAGCAGAAUCAUUCUACGGGAAGCAGAAUCCUCCAACAUACAAGAUGCAAAUGCUUCAAAAAAAGGAUGACAAAACUCAUUAGGACUCAUUGGAAACAGACAGUGUUAUUUACCAAUUACACUUUGAAAAUUAUCCAACUU